AACGUAGGAGACAAACGUUAUCCGGAGUUACUGGGCGUAAAGGGCGCGUAGGCGGUCAGCACAAGUCAGUUGUGAAAUCUCCGGGCUUAACUCGGAAAGGUCAACUGAUACUGUGCGACUAGAGUGCAGAAGGGGCAACUGGAAUUCUCGGUGUAGCGGUGAAAUGCGUAGAUAUCGAGAGGAACACCUGCGGCGAAGGCGGGUUGCUGGGCUGACACUGACGCUGAGGCGCGAAAGCUAGGGGAGCGAACGGG
This 254-nucleotide ribosomal RNA is filed under the name uncultured bacterium. RNAcentral's name for it is "partial 16S ribosomal RNA". It matches the Rfam family "Bacterial small subunit ribosomal RNA", at positions 524 to 776 of the family's 1533-position model. The record is from RNAcentral.